RNAcentral lists this ribosomal RNA (946 nucleotides) under uncultured prokaryote. RNAcentral describes it as "bacterial SSU rRNA". It matches the Rfam family "Bacterial small subunit ribosomal RNA", at positions 492 to 1439 of the family's 1533-position model. The record is from RNAcentral.
UCCGGCUAACUUCGUGCCAGCAGCCGCGGUAAUACGAAGGGACCUAGCGUAGUUCGGAAUUACUGGGCUUAAAGAGUUCGUAGGUGGUUAAAAAAGUUGAUGGUGAAAUCCCAGAGCUUAACUCUGGAACUGCCAUCAAAACUUUUUAGCUAGAGUAUGAUAGAGGAAAGCAGAAUUUCUAGUGUAGAGGUGAAAUUCGUAGAUAUUAGAAAGAAUACCAACUGCGAAGGCAGCUUUCUGGAUCAUUACUGACGCUGAGGAACGAAAGCAUGGGUAGCGAAGAGGAUUAGAUACCCUCGUAGUCCAUGCCGUAAACGAUGUGUGUUAGACGUUGGAAAUUUAUUUUCAGUGUCGCAGUGAAAACAAUAAACACACCGCCUGGGGAGUACGACCGCAAGGUUAAAACUCAAAUGAAUUGACGGGGACCCGCACAAGUAGUGGAGCAUGUGGUUUAAUUCGAAGAUACGCGCAGAACCUUACCAACACUUGACAUGUUCGUCGCGACUCUAAGAGAUUAGAGUUUUCGGUUCGGCCGGACGAAACACAGGUGCUGCAUGGCUGUCGUCAGCUCGUGUCGUGAGAUGUUGGGUUAAGUCCCGCAACGAGCGCAACCCUUACUUUUAGUUGCCACCAUUUAGUUGGGCACUCUGAAAGAACUGCCAGUGAUAAGCUGGAGGAAGGUGGGGAUGACGUCAAGUCCUCAUGGCCCUUAUGUGUUGGGCUACACACGUGCUACAAUGGUAUCUACAACAGGAAGCAAAACAGCGAUGUUAAGCAAAUCCCGAAAAGAUACCUCAGUUCGGAUUGCACUCUGCAACUCGAGUGCAUGAAGCUGGAAUUACUAGUAAUCGCGGAUCAGCGUGCCGCGGUGAAUACGUUCCCGGGUCUUGUACACACCGCCCGUCACACCAUGGGAGUUGGUUCUACCUUAAGGCAAAGCUUAAAA